GGGGCGUUCACAGACUCCUUUAGCCCGCCAGCAUGCUGUAAGUACUUCCUCUUUAUCUUUUUCUAUCUAGCAUUCUCAGUUUAUUUUCAGCAUUGCUCACUUAGAAACAAUCUAAAUUAUGUAGGCAUAUAAGGAGUUUGUCGAGCAUAGGAAUCUCGAGGUGCGGGAGUACUUGAAACGAGUGAAGGCAAACGAUGAUUACAACCGUCAGAUGAUGACGGUUAGUUCUGCCCUCUUAAAACCAAGCUAAAUUUUUGCACUUUCAUUCCUUUUGAUCUUCUAGUUUGCUUGUUUAACUAACAUUCAGGCUAUGUUGGCGUCUUGGAGUAACGGCACGGGUCCACCACAAAUGGGACCCCCACCACCACCUGCAGGAGAACCCCCACACGUGCCCACGUUCGAUGAAUGGGUGGCACUAGGCAGUGAUGGUCCGGUUAGUACAUUUGCCUAACUACUGACAAACUAGUUCUCGUUCAUUCAACACUAUCAUAUCAUAUUUACUGUUAGAAUCUUUUCUGAAACAUGUAGGGGACCGGUGGCUCGACUCCUGCUCCGUCGACCCCAGUCACUCCGAUCUGGCAGAGUGGUGGUGGUCGCGAUGGCAGUUUUGGCGGAGGUGGUGUUGGUUUUGGCGGAGGUGGUGGUUUUGGCGAAGGUGGUCUUGCUUGAUGAUUCCGUGCAUGUGGCCGUCGUGCCAUGCCUUUCAUAUUCCUACUUUUAUGAUGUUUCAUGUCUUGCACUACUUUUAUGUUCAUGAACUUGAGUCGGUGAUGAUCUUUAGAUGAUGUGAUGAACUUGAGUAUGUUUAGAUGAUGAUGGUGAACUUGAGUAUGUUUAGAUGAUGAACUGUCAUAUUUCUGCAUAAUUUCAUAUUGUUCUGUUUUGAAAUGCUGUCAAAUGAAUUGGAAAAGAGAAAACAGGGAAAAAAAACCUAUGCCUACGGCAAAGCCGUCGGCAUAUAUAAGCCCAGGAGUCACCAGGGCUUGCCACGUGGCGGAUCUAUGCCGACGGCUUUGACGUAGGCAUAGAUGAAAAUCUAUGCCGACGGCAAAGCCGUAGGCAUACCUCUGCUGCCAGGAGUAACCAGAAGACGACACGUGGCAGAGCUAUGCCUACGGCAAAGCCGUAGGCAUAGAUUACGGCUUUGCCGUAGGCAUAGCCCUGCCACCAAGAGUACCACUGGUUGCCACGUGGCAGAUGUAUGCCGACGGCAAGGCCGUCGGCAUAUAUCUGCCACGUGGCAUUGCAUGAUUCAUCCGCGUUUUUGACGGCGCCGUCCGUUGCCGUCAGACGAAAAAGACUGCCGACGGCUAUACUAUGCCGACGGCUGACGCUAGGCCGUCGGCAUAGGCCCCUAUGCCGACGGUCUGACAAGACUACGCUGACGGCAUCUACGCCGACGGGUCUAUGCCGAUGGCAGCCGUAGGCAUAGACCUAUGCCGACGGCUUGGGGGCCUAUGCCGACGGCCCUUGACCGUAGGCAUAGACCGCGAGUCCGGUAGUGUCGGUCGUGGUCUUCGCGCACACCUCCUGUGCAUCACCACCUUGGCCAUGCGGAGGAGAGAUGGGGAGCCGCCGCCGGGAGACGAGAUGAAGGCCGGCGCCGGGAGCGAAGAUGCGUUGGGGGCUCCGGCGAGGGACAGGAGCGCUGCCCCGCUGCUCGACAAUU
This 1669-nucleotide long non-coding RNA is filed under the name Triticum aestivum (bread wheat). RNAcentral describes it as "long non-coding RNA (TAES_LNC020745)". Lineage: Eukaryota; Viridiplantae; Streptophyta; Magnoliopsida; Poales; Poaceae. The record is from RNAcentral.